CCUACGGGUGGCAGCAGUGGGGAAUAUUGCACAAUGGGCGAAAGCCUGAUGCAGCAACGCCGCGUGAGCGAUGAAGGCCCUCUGGACGUAAAGCUCUGUCCUCAAGGAAGAUAAUCACGGCACGUGAGGACGAAGCCCCGGCUAACCACGUGCCAGCAGCCGCGGUAAUACGGAGGGGGCUAGCGUUAUCCGGAAUUACUGGGCGUAAAGGGUGCGUAGGUGGGUUCUUAAGUCAGAGGUGAAAGGCUACGGCUCAACCGUAGUAAGCCUUUGAAACUGGGGAACUUGAGUGCAGGAGAGGAAAGUGGAAUUCCUAGUGUAGCGGUGAAAUGCGUAGAUAUUAGGAAGAACACCAGUUGCGAAGGCAGCUCACUGGACUGUAACUGACACUGAGGCACGAAAGCGUGGGGAGCAAACAGGAUUAGAUACCCCUGUAGUC
This 439-nucleotide ribosomal RNA is filed under the name uncultured bacterium. RNAcentral's name for it is "partial 16S ribosomal RNA". It matches the Rfam family "Bacterial small subunit ribosomal RNA", at positions 338 to 795 of the family's 1533-position model. The record is from RNAcentral.